Molecule: ribosomal RNA, 748 nt
Filed under: Neoechinorhynchus cephali
Lineage: Eukaryota; Metazoa; Acanthocephala; Eoacanthocephala; Neoechinorhynchida; Neoechinorhynchidae
Description: SSU rRNA
Rfam family: Eukaryotic small subunit ribosomal RNA
Source: RNAcentral
ACAUGCCACGGUGCUUCGACUUGCGAAGAAGUGCUUUUAUUAGAUCAAAGCCAAUGACGUCUUAGGGCGUCAGUUUGUGCUGACUCUGGGUAAAGUAAGCUGAUUGCAUUGCCUAAACGGCAGGCGACGUGUCUUUCAAGUGUCUUCCCUAUCAACUUUCGUUGGUAGUUUAUACGACUACCAUGGUCGUAACGGGUAACGGGGAAUCAGGGUUCGAUUCCGGAGAGAGAGCAUGAGAAACGGCUGUCACAUCCAAGGAAGGCAGCAGGCGCGCAAAUUACCCAAUCCCAGAUAGGGGAGGUAGUGACGAAAAAUAACGAUGCCGUAAUCUUCGGAUUCGGCAAUUGGAAUGAGAACAAUCAAAAUCCUUUAUCGAGGAUCGAUUGGAGGGCAAGUUCUGGUGCCAGCAGCCGCGGUAAUUCCAGCUCGAAAAGCGUAUGUUAAAUUUGCUGCGGUUAAAAAGCUCGUAGUUGGAAGUCAGGCGAUGAACUGUGCGCUGUCACGUCAGGUAAUGGCGUGUACAGCAUUGCAUUUGAUUCAUCCCUAAGUGAUCGCCUGUCCUGUGUGCCUAACCCAAUUGGGUUUGGGAGGUGCAAUAAAAAAAGGAAAGCGAAAGACUACUUUGAGAAAAUUAGCGUGCUUAACGCAAGCGAUUUGCUUGUAUACUGUUGCAUGGAAUAAUGAGAUAGGACCUUGGUUCUGUUUCGUUGGUUUCCGGAAGCCGAGGUAAUGAUUGAUAGGGAUAAAC